AUGGAAUUGAGGGUGCCUCAUAUGCUUCAUCUUUUUAAUGUCUUUCGUGAAAAUGAUGGGAAGGAAAAUUGUGCUCAAGUACUAGAAGAAGAAUUACAUAGAAUGCUUGGCAUAAAAUAUGUGAAUGAUGAGCAUGAUUGCAAUGUUGUUAGUAUGAAUUCUUUGAAUACCCAUGAUGCUAAUGAUAUGCAAAGCCACAAGCUUGGGGAUGCUAUGUUUGACGAAGAUUAUAUUUUUUGUCCCCCAAGUUUUGAUGAGCAAAUUUAUUAUGAUGAUAACAUGCCUACUAUUUAUGAUGAUUAUAUUGAUGAAAGUGGGUUUGGAAGAGUGUCAACUUUAGGAAGUAAUGAUCCCAAUAUUUUGGAGGGUGUUGAAUCUUAUUGUGAUAAUUAUGAAAGUAGAUUUGGAGAGGUCAUGACUUUAUUUAGUGAUGAAUCCACUAUUUCGGAAGAGGUUCCAAUUGAUUAUGAGAAUAAAGUUGCUACCUAUGAUGAUUAUGUGAUGACAUGUAUGCUAUAA
RNAcentral lists this ribosomal RNA (519 nucleotides) under Triticum aestivum (bread wheat). RNAcentral's name for it is "partial small subunit ribosomal RNA". Lineage: Eukaryota; Viridiplantae; Streptophyta; Magnoliopsida; Poales; Poaceae. The record is from RNAcentral.